CGAACGCUGGCGGCGUGCUUAACACAUGCACGUCGAACGGAAAGGCCCUGCUUUUGUGGGGUGCUCGAGUGGCGAACGGGUGAGUAACACGUGAGUAACCUGCCCUUGACUUUGGGAUAACUUCAGGAAACUGGGGCUAAUACCGGAUAGGAGCUCCUGCUGCAUGGUGGGGGUUGGAAAGUUUCGGCGGUUGGGGAUGGACUCGCGGCUUAUCAGCUUGUUGGUGGGGUAGUGGCUUACCAAGGCUUUGACGGGUAGCCGGCCUGAGAGGGUGACCGGCCCCAAUGGGAGUGAGAGAAGGCCCAGGCCCCCAUCGGGGGGAAGAGGGGGGAAAAUUUGACAAGGGGCGGGAGGCUGGAGGAAGAAACCCGGGGGGGGGGAGGGGGGCUUUGGGGUGGAAACCCGUUUUCCCUGGUAAGGAAGGGGAGGGACGGGAAAGGGGUAAAGAGCCCCGGCUAACCUAGUG
RNAcentral lists this ribosomal RNA (466 nucleotides) under uncultured bacterium. RNAcentral describes it as "partial 16S ribosomal RNA". It matches the Rfam family "Bacterial small subunit ribosomal RNA", at positions 30 to 507 of the family's 1533-position model. The record is from RNAcentral.